Molecule: ribosomal RNA, 245 nt
Filed under: uncultured bacterium
Lineage: Bacteria
Description: partial 16S ribosomal RNA
Rfam family: Bacterial small subunit ribosomal RNA
Source: RNAcentral
UACGGAGGGUGCGAGCGUUAUCCGGAUUCACUGGGUUUAAAGGGUGCGUAGGUGGGCUAGUAAGUCAGUGGUGAAAUCUCCGGGCUUAACCUGGAAACUGCCAUUGAUACUAUUGGUCUUGAAUUAUCUGGAGGUCAGCGGAAUAUGUCAUGUAGCGGUGAAAUGCUUAGAUAUGACAUAGAACACCGAUUGCGAAGGCAGCUGGCUACGGGUGGAUUGACACUGAGGCACGAAAGCGUGGGGAU